AGGCCCAAUUUUCAAAUCUCCCCGUAACUUCCUCAAUCUCCUUCCCUUCUCCGGCGAAAUCUACCCUCUAAAUUAUUUUUUCCGGCGAAAUCCUCUCAACUAGACGGGCACUAUUGCCUCUUCACUGAGUCUCCAUCGGAUUCCGGCCUUUGGCUUUUUGAAGCUGGGAUAGUAUUAGGAAUUGGUGUUCCCUACAAAGAUAU
This 203-nucleotide unclassified non-coding RNA is filed under the name Hevea brasiliensis (rubber tree). Lineage: Eukaryota; Viridiplantae; Streptophyta; Magnoliopsida; Malpighiales; Euphorbiaceae. The record is from RNAcentral.